Molecule: ribosomal RNA, 2461 nt
Filed under: Staphylococcus aureus
Lineage: Bacteria; Bacillati; Bacillota; Bacilli; Caryophanales; Staphylococcaceae
Also listed under: 1 other name
Description: partial 23S ribosomal RNA
Rfam family: Bacterial large subunit ribosomal RNA
Source: RNAcentral
CUCCUAAGGCUAAAUACUCUCUAGUGACCGAUAGUGAACCAGUACCGUGAGGGAAAGGUGAAAAGCACCCCGGAAGGGGAGUGAAAUAGAACCUGAAACCGUGUGCUUACAAGUAGUCAGAGCCCGUUAAUGGGUGAUGGCGUGCCUUUUGUAGAAUGAACCGGCGAGUUACGAUUUGAUGCAAGGUUAAGCAGUAAAUGUGGAGCCGUAGCGAAAGCGAGUCUGAAUAGGGCGUUUAGUAUUUGGUCGUAGACCCGAAACCAGGUGAUCUACCCUUGGUCAGGUUGAAGUUCAGGUAACACUGAAUGGAGGACCGAACCGACUUACGUUGAAAAGUGAGCGGAUGAACUGAGGGUAGCGGAGAAAUUCCAAUCGAACCUGGAGAUAGCUGGUUCUCUCCGAAAUAGCUUUAGGGCUAGCCUCAAGUGAUGAUUAUUGGAGGUAGAGCACUGUUUGGACGAGGGGCCCCUCUCGGGUUACCGAAUUCAGACAAACUCCGAAUGCCAAUUAAUUUAACUUGGGAGUCAGAACAUGGGUGAUAAGGUCCGUGUUCGAAAGGGAAACAGCCCAGACCACCAGCUAAGGUCCCAAAAUAUAUGUUAAGUGGAAAAGGAUGUGGCGUUGCCCAGACAACUAGGAUGUUGGCUUAGAAGCAGCCAUCAUUUAAAGAGUGCGUAAUAGCUCACUAGUCGAGUGACACUGCGCCGAAAAUGUACCGGGGCUAAACAUAUUACCGAAGCUGUGGAUUGUCCUUUGGACAAUGGUAGGAGAGCGUUCUAAGGGCGUUGAAGCAUGAUCGUAAGGACAUGUGGAGCGCUUAGAAGUGAGAAUGCCGGUGUGAGUAGCGAAAGACGGGUGAGAAUCCCGUCCACCGAUUGACUAAGGUUUCCAGAGGAAGGCUCGUCCGCUCUGGGUUAGUCGGGUCCUAAGCUGAGGCCGACAGGCGUAGGCGAUGGAUAACAGGUUGAUAUUCCUGUACCACCUAUAAUCGUUUUAAUCGAUGGGGGGACGCAGUAGGAUAGGCGAAGCGUGCGAUUGGAUUGCACGUCUAAGCAGUAAGGCUGAGUAUUAGGCAAAUCCGGUACUCGUUAAGGCUGAGCUGUGAUGGGGAGAAGACAUUGUGUCUUCGAGUCGUUGAUUUCACACUGCCGAGAAAAGCCUCUAGAUAGAAAAUAGGUGCCCGUACCGCAAACCGACACAGGUAGUCAAGAUGAGAAUUCUAAGGUGAGCGAGCGAACUCUCGUUAAGGAACUCGGCAAAAUGACCCCGUAACUUCGGGAGAAGGGGUGCUCUUUAGGGUUAACGCCCAGAAGAGCCGCAGUGAAUAGGCCCAAGCGACUGUUUAUCAAAAACACAGGUCUCUGCUAAACCGUAAGGUGAUGUAUAGGGGCUGACGCCUGCCCGGUGCUGGAAGGUUAAGAGGAGUGGUUAGCUUCUGCGAAGCUACGAAUCGAAGCCCCAGUAAACGGCGGCCGUAACUAUAACGGUCCUAAGGUAGCGAAAUUCCUUGUCGGGUAAGUUCCGACCCGCACGAAAGGCGUAACGAUUUGGGCACUGUCUCAACGAGAGACUCGGUGAAAUCAUAGUACCUGUGAAGAUGCAGGUUACCCGCGACAGGACGGAAAGACCCCGUGGAGCUUUACUGUAGCCUGAUAUUGAAAUUCGGCACAGCUUGUACAGGAUAGGUAGGAGCCUUUGAAACGUGAGCGCUAGCUUACGUGGAGGCGCUGGUGGGAUACUACCCUAGCUGUGUUGGCUUUCUAACCCGCACCACUUAUCGUGGUGGGAGACAGUGUCAGGCGGGCAGUUUGACUGGGGCGGUCGCCUCCUAAAAGGUAACGGAGGCGCUCAAAGGUUCCCUCAGAAUGGUUGGAAAUCAUUCAUAGAGUGUAAAGGCAUAAGGGAGCUUGACUGCGAGACCUACAAGUCGAGCAGGGUCGAAAGACGGACUUAGUGAUCCGGUGGUUCCGCAUGGAAGGGCCAUCGCUCAACGGAUAAAAGCUACCCCGGGGAUAACAGGCUUAUCUCCCCCAAGAGUUCACAUCGACGGGGAGGUUUGGCACCUCGAUGUCGGCUCAUCGCAUCCUGGGGCUGUAGUCGGUCCCAAGGGUUGGGCUGUUCGCCCAUUAAAGCGGUACGCGAGCUGGGUUCAGAACGUCGUGAGACAGUUCGGUCCCUAUCCGUCGUGGGCGUAGGAAAUUUGAGAGGAGCUGUCCUUAGUACGAGAGGACCGGGAUGGACAUACCUCUGGUGUACCAGUUGUCGUGCCAACGGCAUAGCUGGGUAGCUAUGUGUGGACGGGAUAAGUGCUGAAAGCAUCUAAGCAUGAAGCCCCCCUCAAGAUGAGAUUUCCCAACUUCGGUUAUAAGAUCCCUCAAAGAUGAUGAGGUUAAUAGGUUCGAGGUGGAAGCAUGGUGACAUGUGGAGCUGACGAAUACUAAUCGAUCGAAGACUUAAUCAA